UACAGAGGGUGCGAGCGUUGUCCGGAAUCACUGGGCGUAAAGGACGCGUAGGCGGUCUGGUAAGCGUGUGGUGAAAGCUCGGGGCUCAACCCCGAGUCGGCCGUGCGAACUGCGAGACUGGAGCAGAUCAGAGGCAGGCGGAAUUCCGGGUGUAGCGGUGGAAUGCGUAGAGAUCCGGAAGAACACCGGUGGCGAAGGCGGCCUGCUGGGAUCUUGCUGACGCUGAGGCGCGACAGCGUGGGGAGCAAACAGG
RNAcentral lists this ribosomal RNA (253 nucleotides) under uncultured bacterium. Its description in RNAcentral is "partial 16S ribosomal RNA". It matches the Rfam family "Bacterial small subunit ribosomal RNA", at positions 524 to 776 of the family's 1533-position model. The record is from RNAcentral.